ACGGCGGACGGGUGAGUAACGCGUGGGUAACCUACCCUGUACACACGGAUAACAUACCGAAAGGUAUGCUAAUACGGGAUAAUAUAUUUGAGAGGCAUCUCUUAAAUAUCAAAGGUGAGCCAGUACAGGAUGGACCCGCGUCUGAUUAGCUAGUUGGUAAGGUAACGGCUUACCAAGGCGACGAUCAGUAGCCGACCUGAGAGGGUGAUCGGUCACAUUGGAACUGAGACACGGUCCAA
This 239-nucleotide ribosomal RNA is filed under the name uncultured bacterium. RNAcentral describes it as "partial 16S ribosomal RNA". It matches the Rfam family "Bacterial small subunit ribosomal RNA", at positions 95 to 334 of the family's 1533-position model. The record is from RNAcentral.